This 497-nucleotide ribosomal RNA is filed under the name uncultured bacterium. Its description in RNAcentral is "partial 16S ribosomal RNA". It matches the Rfam family "Bacterial small subunit ribosomal RNA", at positions 28 to 507 of the family's 1533-position model. The record is from RNAcentral.
GAUGAACGCUGGCGGCGUGCCUAAUACAUGCAAGUCGAGCGAACGGACGUGAAGCUUUCUUCUCUGCAGUUAGAGUGGGACAGGUGAGUAACACGUGGAUAAAAUCUCUAUUAGAGUGGGGUAAAAUAGGGGAAAAGGACCUCAUAUAGGGCAAUAGUUUUAAUCGCGUGAUCCAAGAGAGAAAAACGGUCUUGCCGUCACUUAAAGAAUGACCUAAGCUGCAUUAGCUAGUUGGUAAGGUAACGGCUUACGAAGGCAACGAUGCAUAGCCGACCUGAGAGGUGGAUCGCCCAAACUGGAACUGGGACACGGCCCAGACUCCUACGGGAGGCAGCAGUAGGGAAUCUUCGGCAAUGGGCGAAGGCCUGACGGAGCAACGCCGCGUGAGUGAGGAAGGUCUUCGGAUCGUAAAACUCUGUUAUUAGGGAAGAACAUAUGUGUAAGUAAAUGUGGACAUCUUGACGGUACCUAAAUAGAAAGCCACGGCUAACUACGUG